CGGCGUGCUUAACACAUGCAAGUCGAACGAUUAAAGCUCACUUCGGUGAGUGUAUAGAGUGGCGAACGGGUGAGUAACACGUGGGAAACCUGCCCCUUUCUUCGGGAUAACUUCGGGAAACCGUUGCUAAUACCGGAUACUCCGGGAUGGUCGCAUGGCCGACCCGGGAAAGCUUUAUGUGGAAAGGGAUGGUCCCGCGGCCCAUUAGCUUGUUGGUGGGGUAAUGGCCUACCAAGGCGAUGAUGGGUAGCCGAGCUGAGAGGCUGAUCGGCCACACUGGGACUGAGACACGGCCCAGACUNCUACGGGAGGCAGCAGUGGGGAAUUUUGCGCAAUGGGCGAAAGCCUGACGCAGCAACGCCGCGUGCGGGAUGAAGGCCCUCGGGUUGUAAACCGCUUUCAGCAGGGAAGAAAAUGACGGUACCUGCAGAAGAAGCCCCGGCUA
RNAcentral lists this ribosomal RNA (445 nucleotides) under uncultured bacterium. RNAcentral describes it as "bacterial SSU rRNA". It matches the Rfam family "Bacterial small subunit ribosomal RNA", at positions 40 to 499 of the family's 1533-position model. The record is from RNAcentral.